GGAAGGAAAGGCUGGAGAACAGCUGAGGAGAGAUGAUGGUAGAGGUGAGGCACUAGACUAGAGGACAGGAAGGAAAGGCUGGAGAACAGCUGAGGAGGGAUGAUGGUAGAGGUGAGGCACUAGACUAGAGGACAGGAAGGAAAGGUUGGAGAACAGCUGAGGAGAGAUGACGGUAGAGGUGAGGCACUAGACUAGAGGACAGGAAGGAAAGGUUGGAGAACAGCUGAGGAGGGAUGACGGUAGAGGUGAGGCACUAGACUAGAGGACAGGAAGGAAAGGCUGGAGAACAGCUGAGGAGAGAUGACGGUAGAGGUGAGGCACUAGACUAGAGGACAGGAAGGAAAGGUUGGAGAACAGCUGAGGAGGGAUGACGGUAGAGGUGAGGCACUAGACUAGAGGACAGGAAGGAAAGGCUGGAGAACAGCUGAGGAGGGAUGACGGUAGAGGUGAGGCACUAGACUAGAGGACAGGAAGGAAAGGCUGGAGAACAGCUGAGGAGGGAUGACGGUAGAGGUGAGGCACUAGACUAGAGGACAGGAAGGAAAGGCUGGAGAACACCUGAGGAGUGAUGACGGUAGAGGUGAGGCACUAGACUAGAGGACAGGAAGGAAAGGCUGGAGAACAGCUGAGGAGGGAUGACGGUAGAGGUGAGGCACUAGACUAGAGGACAGGAAGGAAAGGCUGGAGAACAGCUGAGGAGGGAUGACGGUAGAGGUGAGGCACUAGACUAGAGGACAGGAAGGAAAGGCUGGAGAACAGCUGAGGAGGGAUGACGGUAGAGGUGAGGCACUAGACUAGAGGACAGGAAGGAAAGGCUGGAGAACAGCUGAGGAGGGAUGACGGUAGAGGUGAGGCACUAGACUAGAGGACAGGAAGGAAAGGCUGGAGAACAGCUGAGGAGGGAUGACGGUAGAGGUGAGGCACUAGACUAGAGGACAGGAAGGAAAGGUUGGAGAACAGCUGAGGAGGGAUGACGGUAGAGGUGAGGCACUAGACUAGAGGACAGGAAGGAAAGGUUGGAGAACAGCUGAGGAAAGGUUCCUGUGGUGUCCUGCCAUUGAUGAUGAUGACAAGCAGAGAGGAGACUAAAGUCGCUAACCAAUAGAUCCUAUAGGAUAGUAGGCAUGGAGAGUUCCCUUUAAACUACCAGGAUAGUUGGCAUGGAGAGUUCCCUUUAAACUACCAGGAUAGUUGGCAUG
Long non-coding RNA from Oncorhynchus keta (chum salmon), 1199 nucleotides. RefSeq lists it as uncharacterized. The transcript has 6 exons. The record is from RefSeq and is a predicted model, not a curated record. NCBI's taxonomy places the organism in Eukaryota, Metazoa, Chordata, Actinopteri, Salmoniformes, Salmonidae.